RNAcentral lists this ribosomal RNA (396 nucleotides) under uncultured microorganism. Its description in RNAcentral is "bacterial SSU rRNA". It matches the Rfam family "Archaeal small subunit ribosomal RNA", at positions 330 to 678 of the family's 1478-position model. The record is from RNAcentral.
GCGCACCAGGCGAGAAACCUUCGCAAUGCAGGAAACUGCGACGAGGGAACUCCAAGUGCCUACGCUCAGCGUAGGCUGUUCUCAAGCCUAGAAAGCUUGAGGAGUAAGGGCUGGGUAAGACGGGUGCCAUCUGUGGUAGCAGUCAAUAGAUUCGAUUUGUUACUGCAAGGCAUAAGCCGCCGCGGUAAUACCCGCAGCCCAAGUGGUGGCCGCUUUUAUUGGGCCUAAAGCGUCCGUAGCCGGCCCGGUAAAUGCCCUGGGUAAAUCGUGGAGCCCGACUUCACGAAUUCCGGGUAGACUGCCGAGCUCGGGACCGGAAGAGGGAGAGGGUACUUCAGGGGUAGGGGUGAAAAUUUCCUUUCCAUUAACGCUUUUGCGCGAAGCGGAAAGGGUUAU